RNAcentral lists this ribosomal RNA (468 nucleotides) under uncultured bacterium. Its description in RNAcentral is "partial 16S ribosomal RNA". It matches the Rfam family "Bacterial small subunit ribosomal RNA", at positions 28 to 507 of the family's 1533-position model. The record is from RNAcentral.
GACGAACGCUGGCGGCGUGCUUAACACAUGCAAGUCGAACGGAAAGGCCCUGCUUUUGCUGGGUGCUCGAGUGGCGAACGGGUGAGUAACACGCGAGUAACCUGCCCUUGACUUUGGGAUAACUUCAGGAAACUGCGGCUAAUACCGGAUAGGAGCUCCUGCUGCAUGGUGGGGGUUGGUAAGUUUCGGCGGUUGGGGAUGGACUCGCGGCUUAUCAGCUUGUUGGUGGGGUAGUGGCUUACCAAGGUUUUGACGGCUAGCCGGCAUGAGAGGGUGACCGGCGACAUUGGGACUGAGAUACGGCCCAGACUCCUACGGGAGGCAGCAGGCGGGAAUAUUGCACAAUGGGGGGAAGCCUGAUGCAGCAACGCCGCGUGCGGGAUGAUGGCCUUCGGGUUGUAAACCGCUUUCGCCGGUGACGAAGCGUGAUUGACGGUAAUUGGUAAAGAAGCACCGGCUAACUACGUG